Molecule: ribosomal RNA, 447 nt
Filed under: uncultured bacterium
Lineage: Bacteria
Description: bacterial SSU rRNA
Rfam family: Bacterial small subunit ribosomal RNA
Source: RNAcentral
UCGGGAAUUUUGGGCAAUGGGCGAAAGCCUGACCCAGCAACGCCGCGUGAAGGAUGAAGUAUUUCGGUAUGUAAACUUCGAAAGAAUAGGAAGAAUAAAUGACGGUACUAUUUAUAAGGUCCGGCUAACUACGUGCCAGCAGCCGCGGUAAUACGUAGGGCCCAAGCGUUGUUCGGAUUUACUGGGCGUAAAGGGCGCGUAGGCGGCAAUUCAAGUCAUCUGUGAAAUCUCCGGGCUUAACUCGGAACGGUCAGAUGAUACUGCUUUGCUAGAGUGCAGAAGGGGCAAUCGGAAUUCUUGGUGUAGCGGUGAAAUGCGUAGAUAUCAAGAGGAACACCUGAGGUGAAGACGGGUUGCUGGGCUGACACUGACGCUGAGGCGCGAAAGCCAGGGGAGCAAACGGGAUUAGAUACCCAUGUAGUCCCUGAGCGGGCUGGCAAGGCGCAU